Conger conger (European conger) is the source of this 378-nucleotide long non-coding RNA. RefSeq lists it as uncharacterized. NCBI's taxonomy places the organism in Eukaryota, Metazoa, Chordata, Actinopteri, Anguilliformes, Congridae. The transcript has 3 exons. The record is from RefSeq and is a predicted model, not a curated record.
GGGAGCGCGCACGCCGAUAGAGAGCGCGGCAGUUUGUCAAAGCGGGACAACGCGAAAGGAACGCAGCUGAAAAGCUGCCCAACGAAAAGCUGAGAAGCGUUUGGUGAAUUGAGCAAAAUCCCCCAAAUUACCACGGCAAACUGUCAGUGAAGAGGAAAACAAGAAUUUGUUCUCCAGUCAGUUACAAACGGAUGUUGACUGAAUCCAGAUCGGGGGCUGCCAGCUCCAGUCCGCGGCUGUGGGCUGGAGUGUUUCUGCACGGCUGAUCUCUCCUGCUCACCGUGGCUGUGGGCUGGAGUGUUUCUGCACGGCUGAUCUCUCCUGCUCCCCGUGGCUGUGGGCUGGAGUGUUUCUGCACGGCUGAUCUCUCCUGCUCCC